This 595-nucleotide ribosomal RNA is filed under the name Lodderomyces parapsilosis. RNAcentral's name for it is "LSU rRNA". It matches the Rfam family "Eukaryotic large subunit ribosomal RNA", at positions 47 to 658 of the family's 3401-position model. Lineage: Eukaryota; Fungi; Ascomycota; Pichiomycetes; Serinales; Debaryomycetaceae. The record is from RNAcentral.
AAAGCGGAGGAAAAGAAACCAACAGGGAUUGCCUUAGUAGCGGCGAGUGAAGCGGCAAAAGCUCAAAUUUGAAAUCUGGCACUUUCAGUGUCCGAGUUGUAAUUUGAAGAAGGUAUCUUUGGGUCUGGCUCUUGUCUAUGUUUCUUGGAACAGAACGUCACAGAGGGUGAGAAUCCCGUGCGAUGAGAUGUCCCAGACCUAUGUAAAGUUCCUUCGAAGAGUCGAGUUGUUUGGGAAUGCAGCUCUAAGUGGGUGGUAAAUUCCAUCUAAAGCUAAAUAUUGGCGAGAGACCGAUAGCGAACAAGUACAGUGAUGGAAAGAUGAAAAGAACUUUGAAAAGAGAGUGAAAAAGUACGUGAAAUUGUUGAAAGGGAAGGGCUUGAGAUCAGACUUGGUAUUUUGUAUGUUACUCUCUCGGGGGUGGCCUCUACAGUUUACCGGGCCAGCAUCAGUUUGAGCGGUAGGAUAAGUGCAAAGAAAUGUGGCACUGCUUCGGUAGUGUGUUAUAGUCUUUGUCGAUACUGCCAGCUUAGACUGAGGACUGCGGCUUCGGCCUAGGAUGUUGGCAUAAUGAUCUUAAGUCGCCCGUCUUGAC